GACGAACGCUGGCGGCGUGCUUAACACAUGCAAGUCGAACGGAAAGGCCCUGCUUUUGUGGGGUGCUCGAGUGGCGAACGGGUGAGUAACACGUGAGUAACCUGCCCUUGACUUUGGGAUAACUUCAGGAAACUGGGGCUAAUACCGGAUAGGAGCUCCUGCUGCAUGGUGGGGGUUGGAAAGUUUCGGCGGUUGGGGAUGGACUCGCGGCUUAUCAGCUUGUUGGUGGGGUAGUGGCUUACCAAGGCUUUGACGGGUAGCCGGCCUGAGAGGGUGACCGGCCACAUUGGGACUGAGAUACGGCCCAGACUCCUACGGGAGGCAGCAGUGGGGAAUAUUGCACAAUGGGCGGAAGCCUGAUGCAGCAACGCCGCGUGCGGGUUGACGGCCUUCGGGUUGUAAACCGCUUUCGCCUGUGACGAAGUGUGAGUGACGGUAAUGGGUAAAGAAGCACCGGCUAACUACGUG
This 468-nucleotide ribosomal RNA is filed under the name uncultured bacterium. Its description in RNAcentral is "partial 16S ribosomal RNA". It matches the Rfam family "Bacterial small subunit ribosomal RNA", at positions 28 to 507 of the family's 1533-position model. The record is from RNAcentral.